GAUGAACGCUGGCGGCGUGCUUAAUACAUGCAAGUCGAGCGAACAGACGAGGAGCUUGCUGCUCUUACGUUAGCGGCGGACGGGUGAGUAACACGUGGAUAACCCACCUAUAAGACUGGGAUAACGUCGGGAAACCGGAGCUAAUACUGGAUAACAUGUUGAACCGCAUGGUUCAACAGUAAAAGACGGUCUUGCUGUCACGUAUAGAUGGAUCCUCGCCGCAUUAGCUAGUUGGUAAGGUACCGGCUUACCAAGGGAACGAUGCGUAACCGGCCUGAGCGGGGGAUCGGCGACAGUGGAACUGAGACACGGUCCAGGCUCCUGCGGGAGGCGGCAGUAGGGAGUGUGCCGCAAUGGGCGAAAGCCUGACGGAGCAACGCCGCGUGAGUGAUGAAGGUCUUCGGAUCGUAAGUCGCAAUUAUUAGGGAAGAACAGAUGUGUAGGUAAUUAUGCACGUCGUGACGGUACUUAAUCAGAAAGCCACGGCUAACUACGUG
This 497-nucleotide ribosomal RNA is filed under the name uncultured bacterium. RNAcentral's name for it is "partial 16S ribosomal RNA". It matches the Rfam family "Bacterial small subunit ribosomal RNA", at positions 28 to 507 of the family's 1533-position model. The record is from RNAcentral.